This 554-nucleotide long non-coding RNA is filed under the name Sinocyclocheilus anshuiensis. RNAcentral's name for it is "lncRNA (ENSSANG00000011557.1)". Lineage: Eukaryota; Metazoa; Chordata; Actinopteri; Cypriniformes; Cyprinidae. The record is from RNAcentral.
UUGAGAAUCAGUUCACAGCUCUAUCCACAGAGAACCGACAGCAGGAUGUCUGCAACAAACUGCUCAGAGCUGGAUCUGGAGCUGGGAGACUUGCUGCAGGAGUUUAAUGAUGUUGUGAAGGAGCUGAGCACACCCCAGGCCUCUGAACAUGUGCCGAGAGACGUGAAGAGACACACAGCACUGACUGAUGGAGACGAUUCAGACUACUCCAGGCUCGGGGAUACCAGUGACCUACAGAGCUUCAUCGAAAACCUGGAUAGAGAGCUUGCAGAGAUGUGAGAUGACGGGACACACGUGAUCAGAGAGGACUGAGCACCUGAAGAGCUGGCAUUUAGCUUCCACGCAUAGAAAAACACAGCUUGAAGGCCUCAUUUCCCCCCCUUCACUAAGAAAAAAAGCUCACGGUUUGGAAGAAUUACCAAGUUUCUCAGAAGAUGUUUUAUAUGAAAUUUAUAUGAAAAGCACAAUUCCUUGUAAGUUAUGAAGAUUUAUUGUUAAUAGCUAUUUUUCACUUUUUUUUAUGAAGAAUGUAAAAAUAUCAGUGCUACCAGGUU